RNAcentral lists this ribosomal RNA (253 nucleotides) under uncultured Pedobacter sp. Its description in RNAcentral is "partial 16S ribosomal RNA". It matches the Rfam family "Bacterial small subunit ribosomal RNA", at positions 524 to 776 of the family's 1533-position model. Lineage: Bacteria; Pseudomonadati; Bacteroidota; Sphingobacteriia; Sphingobacteriales; Sphingobacteriaceae. The record is from RNAcentral.
UACGGAGGAUCCAAGCGUUAUCCGGAUUUAUUGGGUUUAAAGGGUGCGUAGGCGGCCUGUUAAGUCAGGGGUGAAAUUUUUCGGCUCAACCGGAAGCUUGCCCUUGAUACUGAUGGGCUUGAUUACACUUGAGGUAGGCGGAAUGUGACAAGUAGCGGUGAAAUGCAUAGAUAUGUCACAGAACACCAAUUGCGAAGGCAGCUUACUAAGGUGUCAAUGACGCUGAGGCACGAAAGCGUGGGGAUCAAACAGG